CAGGGUGUAGCGCAGUUGGUAGCUCGCUUGCUUCGAGAGCAAGAGGUCGCAAGUUCAAAUCUUGUCACUCCGACCA
This 76-nucleotide transfer RNA is filed under the name Clostridium sp. OS1-26. RNAcentral describes it as "tRNA-Ser". It matches the Rfam family "tRNA". Rfam says of the family: Transfer RNA (tRNA) molecules are approximately 80 nucleotides in length. Lineage: Bacteria; Bacillati; Bacillota; Clostridia; Eubacteriales; Clostridiaceae. The record is from RNAcentral.